UCCCUGGAGGACUAGUGGUUAGGCCAUGGUGCUCUCACUGCGGCGGCCCAGGUUUGAUCCCUGGCCAGGGGA
Non-coding RNA from Pangasius djambal, 72 nucleotides. Lineage: Eukaryota; Metazoa; Chordata; Actinopteri; Siluriformes; Pangasiidae. The record is from the annotation of a GenBank genome assembly.